UACGGAGGAUGCAAGCGUUAUCCGGAUUUAUUGGGUUUAAAGGGUGCGUAGGCGGAAAAUUAAGUCAGUAGUGAAAUCCCGCAGCUCAACUGUGGAACUGUUAUUGAUACUGGUUUUCUUGAAUGUAGUUGAGGUAGGCGGAAUGUGUAAUGUAGCGGUGAAAUGCUUAGAUAUUACACAGAACACCGAUUGCGAAGGCAGCUUACUAAGCUACGAUUGACGCGGAGGUACGAAAGCGUGGGGAGCGAACAGG
RNAcentral lists this ribosomal RNA (253 nucleotides) under uncultured bacterium. RNAcentral describes it as "partial 16S ribosomal RNA". It matches the Rfam family "Bacterial small subunit ribosomal RNA", at positions 524 to 776 of the family's 1533-position model. The record is from RNAcentral.